CUCGUGAAUUCAUCUCCGGGGGUAGAGCACUGUUUCGGCUAGGGGGCCAUCCCGGCUUACCAACCCGAUGCAAACUGCGAAUACCGGAGAAUGUUAUCACGGGAGACACACGGCGGGUGCUAACGUCCGUCGUGAAGAGGGAAACAACCCAGACCGCCAGCUAAGGUCCCAAAGUCAUGGUUAAGUGGGAAACGAUGUGGGAAGGCCCAGACAGCCAGGAUGUUGGCUUAGAAGCAGCCAUCAUUUAAAGAAAGCGUAAUAGCUCACUGGUCGAGUCGGCCUGCGCGGAAGAUGUAACGGGGCUAAACCAUGCACCGAAGCUGCGGCAGCGACACUGUGUGUUGUUGGGUAGGGGAGCGUUCUGUAAGCCUGUGAAGGUGUGUCGUGAGGCAUGCU
This 396-nucleotide ribosomal RNA is filed under the name Salmonella enterica. RNAcentral describes it as "partial 23S ribosomal RNA". It matches the Rfam family "Bacterial large subunit ribosomal RNA", at positions 881 to 1274 of the family's 2925-position model. Lineage: Bacteria; Pseudomonadati; Pseudomonadota; Gammaproteobacteria; Enterobacterales; Enterobacteriaceae. The record is from RNAcentral.